GAAUUCGCCCUUAGAGUUUGAUCCUGGCUCAGGAUGAACGCUGGCGGCGUGCUUAACACAUGCAAGUCGAACGAAGCUUGAUUACGGAGCUCUACGGAGUGAAGUAAGAAAUGACUUAGUGGCGGACGGGUGAGUAACGCGUGAGCAACCUGCCUUUCAGAGGGGGAUAACGUUUGGAAACGAACGCUAAUACCGCAUAACAUAUGUUUGUGGCAUCGCAGACAUAUCAAAGAUUUAUCGCUGAGAGAUGGACUCGCGUCUGAUUAGGUAGUUGGUGAGGUAAAGGCCCACCAAGCCGACGAUCAGUAGCCGGACUGAGAGGUUGACCGGCCACAUUGGGACUGAGACACGGCCCAGACUCCUACGGGAGGCAGCAGUGGGGAAUAUUGCACAAUGGGCGCAAGCCUGAUGCAGCAACGCCGCGUGAGGGAAGACGGUCUUCGGAUUGUAAACCUUUGUCUUUGGUGAAGAAGGAAGUGACGGUAGCCAAGGAGGAAGCCACGGCUAACUACGUGCCAGCAGCCGCGGUAAUACGUAGGUGGCAAGCGUUGUCCGGAAUUACUGGGUGUAAAGGGAGCGCAGGCGGGAUCGUAAGUUGGGAGUGAAAUUCAUGGGCUCAACCCAUGACCUGCUUUCAAAACUGUGAUUCUUGAGUGGUGUAGAGGUAGGCGGAAUUCCCGGUGUACCGGUGAAAUGCGUAGAUAUUCGGAGGAACACCAGUGGCGAAGGCGGCCUACUGGGCUUUAACUGACGCUGAGGCUCGAAAGUGUGGGGAGCAAACAGGAUUAGAUACCCUGGUAGUCCACACUGUAAACGA
Molecule: ribosomal RNA, 817 nt
Filed under: uncultured bacterium
Lineage: Bacteria
Description: bacterial SSU rRNA
Rfam family: Bacterial small subunit ribosomal RNA
Source: RNAcentral